Molecule: long non-coding RNA, 345 nt
Filed under: Elaeis guineensis (African oil palm)
Lineage: Eukaryota; Viridiplantae; Streptophyta; Magnoliopsida; Arecales; Arecaceae
Description: long non-coding RNA (EGUI_LNC051357)
Source: RNAcentral
UUCACGAUCAAAUGAUACGUUGUUACCAAGGAUGACAAUGUUUAUCAAGCAUAGAUCAUUGUGUGUCAUAUAGGUUGGUUGUCCUCUUAACCAAUGAGUGUGGAGACACUAGUAUGGCAUAUAGAUGAGAUGUAAGGGUACAUCUGCACUGAAUGUGACCGACUCCAAAGCUAUUUCUGCUGUCAAGAUUUGCUCCGAUAGAAUAUGAGUAUAAAUGUCCCUUCGACCUGAGACCGCCACGGUGACUUGCAAGCAACUCACUGCACUUAGACACUGGACUACCUGAAUUUUUAAUUCAGUGAUGGAAGGCUGCUGGGUGUAGUCAAGUACUUGACUUGUCGGUGC